This 509-nucleotide ribosomal RNA is filed under the name uncultured bacterium. Its description in RNAcentral is "partial 16S ribosomal RNA". It matches the Rfam family "Bacterial small subunit ribosomal RNA", at positions 355 to 882 of the family's 1533-position model. The record is from RNAcentral.
UGGGGAAUAUUGGACAAUGGGGGCAACCCUGAUCCAGCAAUGCCGCGUGUGUGAAGAAGGUCUUCGGAUUGUAAAGCACUUUCGACGGGGACGAUGAUGACGGUACCCGUAGAAGAAGCCCCGGCUAACUUCGUGCCAGCAGCCGCGGUAAUACGAAGGGGGCUAGCGUUGCUCGGAAUGACUGGGCGUAAAGGGCGUGUAGGCGGUUUACACAGUCAGAUGUGAAAUCCCCGGGCUUAACCUGGGAGCUGCAUUUGAUACGUGUAGACUAGAGUGUGAGAGAGGGUUGUGGAAUUCCCAGUGUAGAGGUGAAAUUCGUAGAUAUCGGGAAGAACACCGGUGGCGAAGGCGGCAACCUGGCUCAUGACUGACGCUGAGGCGCGAAAGCGUGGGGAGCAAACAGGUUAGAUACCCUGGUAGUCCACGCUGUAAACGAUGUGUGCUAGAUGUUGGGUAACUUUGUUAUUCAGUGUCGCAGUUAACGCGUUAAGCACACCGCCUGGGGAGUA